UACGUAUGGAGCAAGCGUUGUCCGGAUUUACUGGGCGUAAAGGGCACGCAGGCGGUGAGAUAAGUCAGGUGUGAAAGUUUUCGGCUCAACCGGAAAAGUGCACUUGAAACUGUCUUACUUGAGUAUCGGAGAGGUAAGCGGAAUUCCUAGUGUAGCGGUGAAAUGCGUAGAGAUUAGGAAGAACACCGGUGGCGAAGGCGGCUUACUGGACGAUUACUGACGCUCAUGUGCGAAAGCGUGGGGAGCAAACAGG
RNAcentral lists this ribosomal RNA (253 nucleotides) under uncultured bacterium. RNAcentral describes it as "partial 16S ribosomal RNA". It matches the Rfam family "Bacterial small subunit ribosomal RNA", at positions 524 to 776 of the family's 1533-position model. The record is from RNAcentral.